Non-coding RNA from Triticum aestivum (bread wheat), 126 nucleotides. Lineage: Eukaryota; Viridiplantae; Streptophyta; Magnoliopsida; Poales; Poaceae. The record is from Rfam.
AAAGUACUCCCUCCGUCCGAAAAAGCUUGUCCUAAACUUGUCUUUUAAAUGAAUGUAUCUAGCACUAACUUGAAGCUAGAUACAUUUAUUUGAGGGACAAGUUUUUUCGGACGGGAGGAGUACUAC